RNAcentral lists this unclassified non-coding RNA (1117 nucleotides) under Leishmania donovani. RNAcentral's name for it is "gene:unknown". The record is from RNAcentral. Lineage: Eukaryota; Euglenozoa; Kinetoplastea; Trypanosomatida; Trypanosomatidae.
GUGGGCAAACGCCCGCGCCGGCCAAAGGAACCCCCUGCCCCAAGCCCCAACCCCGGCGGCCCACGGCAGACCCCGGCGGCUAAGCGAGCGGCCAAAAAGGCGAAAAGCGCCACGCAAAGGAAGCAGCCAGGCCGAGCCCAGCGGGGGCCGCCCUAGAAUCACACGCGCGCCCCCCUCGGCACGGGGCACCACCCACCCCCCGGCGGCGACUCACUAAAGGACGGCGGCGCACCGCGCGUUUCGACGGUGGGCCUGAGAGUCGCCACCGCGGCGAUCGAGACAGCCCGCGGAAGCGAAAACCCCAGACCCUUCCUUUCACAGCGCCGAGGCACUGCUGCUGGAAAAGCUCGAUGCAGUCACAAAGGGUGCCAAAACUUUCCUGUAGACAAUCCAGCCGCAGGAAAUGCGAGUGAACCUGAAACAGCACGGCACAACCCUCGAAGAGAUCCCGUUUCAGCUGCAGUGGAGAAGUUUUCCAACCCAUCGCAUCGCACAGCCUCAGCGGUGUUUUUAGUCACGGGGGGGGGGGGGGGGGGCACCGGUGUUCGCGCCAAAGACCAUGUAACGAGAGCACCGUUAUCUGCAGCUGACAGAAGGAAACCCACGUCGCAUAUACAGCUUUUUGUUGUUAGGACAACGCUUCAUUUCAUUCGAACAUUUGAGAUCGCUACAUCCCCUUUUCCUCCAUCUUAGGGUGUACUGGCAACAGAAGCCACAGUUAUUUUUCUCUUUUCCUCCAUCAUCUUCACUCGACGAGCCUGGUCACUGUCGCAGGUGGCUCCAACGCGACGUUAUCCACGACCUCACCGCCGACAUGCCUGGCGGCGAAGCGCUCUGACCUUUCCCAUGUCGUAGACACUGGACCCCGCCACCACCAGAGGUAGCCCGGCGUUGGCAGGGAUAGGGGGAGGGGGCUGCCCGGCUUCCCCAUAGAGCAGGUACGAGGCCCCUAGAUGCCAAGCUGCAAGGUGUGUCCCCUCUUGCGUCAGAGAAAGCCACAGCUCUGCGAAAAAAAAAAAGAAAGCUGUGAAUCAGAUUGCAUUCACCUCACAGCAGAGGAGUCUUAUCUACAGUCUCUUUCGCUCUCUUUCUCCUUCUACCCUUUCGGUUGCCAUAG